GAUGAAGAACGUAGCGAAAUGCGAUACUUGGUGUGAAUUGCAGAAUCCCGUGAACCAUCGAGUCUUUGAACGCAAGUUGCGCCCGAAGCCAUUAGGCCGAGGGCACGCCUGCCUGGGCGUCACACGUCGUUGCCCCCCCAUCUACUCCUUCGGGAUUGCGAGGGGCGGAUGAUGGCCUCCCGUGCGCCUCGUCGCGCGGUUGGCAUAAAUGCCAAGUCCUCGGCGACGCACGCCACGACAAUCGGUGGUUGCGAAACCUCGGUUGCCCGUCGUGUGCGGUCGUCGCGCAUCGAGGGCUCGAAAAAAUUGCCGGGCUCCGGCUCGGCUUUCAAUGCGACCCCAGGUCAGGCGGGGUUACCCGCUGAAUUUAAGCAUAUCAAUAAGCGGAGGA
This 391-nucleotide unclassified non-coding RNA is filed under the name soil metagenome. RNAcentral describes it as "partial contains 5.8S ribosomal RNA, internal transcribed spacer 2, and large subunit ribosomal RNA". The stretch from base 1 to 122 matches the Rfam family "5.8S ribosomal RNA", at positions 35 to 154 of the family's 154-position model. The record is from RNAcentral.